AGUGAACGCUGGCGGCAGGCCUAAUACAUGCAAGUCGAACGGCAGCACAGCAGAGCUUGCUCUGUGGGUGGCGAGUGGCGGACGGGUGAGGAAUACAUGGGAAUCUGCCCAGUCGUGGGGGAUAACGUAUGGAAACGUACGCUAAUACCGCAUGCGCCCUAAGGGGGAAAGCCGGGGACCGCAAGGCCUGGCGCGAUUGGAUGAGCCCAUGUUCGAUUAGCUAGUUGGCGGGGUAAAGGCCCACCAAGGCGACGAUCGAUAGCUGGUCUGAGAGGAUGAUCAGCCACACUGGAACUGAGACACGGUCCAGACUCCUACGGGAGGCAGCAGUAGGGAAUAUUGGACAAUGGGGGCAACCCUGAUCCAGCCAUGCCGCGUGAGUGAAGAAGGCCCUCGGGUUGUAAAGCUCUUUUGUCCGGAAAGAAAGCAAUCGGUUAAUACCCGGUUGUCCCGACGGUACCGGAAGAAUAAGCACCGGCUAACUUCGUGCCAGC
RNAcentral lists this ribosomal RNA (494 nucleotides) under uncultured bacterium. RNAcentral describes it as "bacterial SSU rRNA". It matches the Rfam family "Bacterial small subunit ribosomal RNA", at positions 29 to 512 of the family's 1533-position model. The record is from RNAcentral.